GGAAAAGUCGUAACAAGGUCUCCGUUGGUGAACCAGCGGAGGGAUCAUUACCGAGUUUACAACUCCCAAACCCAAUGUGAACGCUACCAAACUGUUGCCUCGGCGGGGUCACGCCCCGGGUGCGUCGCAGCCCCGGAACCAGGCGCCCGCCGGAGGAACCAACCAAACUCUUUCUGUAGUCCCCUCGCGGACGUUAUUUCUUACAGCUCUGAGCAAAAAUUCAAAAUGAAUCAAAACUUUCAACAACGGAUCUCUUGGUUCUG
RNAcentral lists this unclassified non-coding RNA (263 nucleotides) under plant metagenome. Its description in RNAcentral is "partial contains small subunit ribosomal RNA, internal transcribed spacer 1, and 5.8S ribosomal RNA". The stretch from base 1 to 50 matches the Rfam family "Eukaryotic small subunit ribosomal RNA", at positions 1782 to 1831 of the family's 1831-position model. The record is from RNAcentral.